This 440-nucleotide ribosomal RNA is filed under the name uncultured bacterium. Its description in RNAcentral is "partial 16S ribosomal RNA". It matches the Rfam family "Bacterial small subunit ribosomal RNA", at positions 338 to 795 of the family's 1533-position model. The record is from RNAcentral.
CCUACGGGUGGCAGCAGUGGGGAAUAUUGCUCAAUGGGGGAAACCCUGAUGCAGCGACGCCGCGUGAGUGAUGAAGUCUCUCGGUACGUAAAGCUCUAUCGUCAGGGAAGAUUAUGACGGUAUCUGACUAAUAAGCCCCGGCUAACUACGUGCCAGCAGCCGCGGUAAUACGGAGGGUGCAAGCGUUAUCCGGAUUUACUGGGUGUAAAGGGAGCGUAGACGGGAGAAGAAGUCUGGUGUGAAAUCCUGGAGCUUAACCCCAGAACUGCAUUGGAAACUGUUCGGCUGGAGUGUAGGAGGGGUAAGCGGAAUUCCUAGUGUAGCGGUGAAAUGCGUAGAGAUCAAGAGGAACACUGAUGGCGAAGGCGGCCUACUGGACCGUAACUGACGUUGAGGCUCGAAAGCGUGGGGAGCAAACAGGAUUAGAUACCCGUGUAGUC